This 200-nucleotide ribosomal RNA is filed under the name uncultured bacterium. Its description in RNAcentral is "partial 16S ribosomal RNA". It matches the Rfam family "Bacterial small subunit ribosomal RNA", at positions 524 to 720 of the family's 1533-position model. The record is from RNAcentral.
UACGUAGGGUGCGAGCGUUAAUCGGAAUUACUGGGCGUAAAGCGUGCGCAGGCGGUUGGCAAAGUCAGCUGUGAAAGCCCCGGGCUCAACCUGGGAAUUGCGGUUGAAACUAGUCGACUAGAAUCUGGCAGAGGGGGGUGGGAAUUCCACGGUGUAGCAGUGGAAAUGCGUAGAGAUGUGGAGGAACACCGAUGGCGAAG